GCUCCUGAGUAUCCCGGUCGGGUGAGGGGUAAGGGUCAUGGUGUGACUCCAACCUCUUUUUACAAGAGUCCUAGGAGAAGAAAUCCUUCAAAUGAAGAAGUGUUGCAAAAGUUGGCGGAAUUGCAAGCACAAGUCUCUGAAUUGCAAAGAGAUAAAGAAGCGUAUAUGAGAGAAAAGUGCAACACUUCAUCGGUGAAAGAAACUAGUGAUAAGGCUAGUAUCAACUAUCAAAGGAAAUUUCCCGAGGGCAUUUCAUCUUGCCAACUAUACUUAUCGGAACCGAAUUAUCGACUAGUUGGCAAGGGAAAAGUGCACAACACUUUGGGAGAUUUACUUCACCAUAGACCGCUCCCGGAUGGACACCUGAAAGUAUCGGUGGAUGUUGUAGUAGAUCAUGAUGCGAUGCUACCGGUACCUGACAUGGUCUCAGAGACGACAUUGCUGCGAGAUGCAAUAGGAUCAUUUGUUGCAUGGCCCUCGGAGCUCAUUACCAUUAGUGAUGAGGUAUAUUGAAAACGAUUAUGAAUCAUUUAGUUUUCGAAUGUCAAUUCUAAACUGUUUAUUAAUUAUUUUUUACAUUUUAAUUUUAGACUGCUCCUAUAAAACCCACAGUUAAGGGUAAAGGGAUUUUACAGGAGGAGGAGUCCGUUGCAUCACUAAAAGAGGCAUCCGCUCGGGAGUCACAACAAGUGACGCAGCAAGUUCGUACCGUACCACCCACUGGUCCUCCGAAGCCAGCGGGAAAAAAAGGCGGUGCUUUUGUGCCUCGGUACCGGUCGACGCUCGCAACAAUGGUUGAUAUGUCCGAUUUGAAGGAUGGUGCUUUACGUGAAAUCGUUAUGGAUGAAAGUGUCUUCGGUAUUGAAUUCAAGUCACUUAUUACAAUUGAUGACUUGGAGGAGAUUUUUAAGCAUGAUCAACUAGGCGUCACUAACAUGCACUCAUACAUCCGGUUGUUGUAUGACAGAGUGUUGCGCGGGAC
This is a long non-coding RNA of Vicia villosa (hairy vetch), 982 nucleotides long. RefSeq lists it as uncharacterized. The record is from RefSeq and is a predicted model, not a curated record. The transcript is spliced from 4 exons. Lineage: Eukaryota; Viridiplantae; Streptophyta; Magnoliopsida; Fabales; Fabaceae.